RNAcentral lists this ribosomal RNA (484 nucleotides) under uncultured bacterium. Its description in RNAcentral is "partial 16S ribosomal RNA". It matches the Rfam family "Bacterial small subunit ribosomal RNA", at positions 30 to 507 of the family's 1533-position model. The record is from RNAcentral.
AUUGAACGCUGGCGGCAGGCCUAACACAUGCAAGUCGAGCGGAUGAAGGGAGCUUGCUCCUGGAUUCAGCGGCGGACGGGUGAGUAAUGCCUAGGAAUCUGCCUGGUAGUGGGGGAUAACGUCCGGAAACGGGCGCUAAUACCGCAUACGUCCUGAGGGAGAAAGUGGGGGAUCUUCGGACCUCACGCUAUCAGAUGAGCCUAGGUCGGAUUAGCUAGUUGGUGGGGUAAAGGCCUACCAAGGCGACGAUCCGUAACUGGUCUGAGAGGAUGAUCAGUCACACUGGAACUGAGACACGGUCCAGACUCCUACGGGAGGCAGCAGUGGGGAAUAUUAAACAAUGGGCGAAAGCCUGAUCCAGCCAUGCCGCGUGUGUGAAGAAGGUCUUCGGAUUGUAAAGCACUUUAAGUUGGGAGGAAGGGCAGUAAGUUAAUACCUUGCUGUUUUGACGUUACCAACAGAAUAAGCACCGGCUAACUUCGUG